RNAcentral lists this long non-coding RNA (626 nucleotides) under Homo sapiens (human). RNAcentral's name for it is "HSALNT0206479". The record is from RNAcentral. Lineage: Eukaryota; Metazoa; Chordata; Mammalia; Primates; Hominidae.
AGAGAAGACCAUGUGAAGACAAAGAGAAAGCAGCUGGCCAUCAGUAAGCCAAGGAGGGAGGCUUCAGAAGAAACUGAACCUGCCGACACCUUGACCUUGGACUUCUAGUCCCCAGAACGCCUCAGGAUGUUCCAUCUGCCCUACUUGAAUGCCUGAAGCCCUUCUUUCUCCAAUGACCCUGAGGAAAAUCUUGAAGGCGUUUCUUAGUCUGUGGAUUUUUUCUCCACAAGGGUAUAAAAUAAGAAGAUGAGGGAAAUAACCUUAACUGAAUACAUGGUGAUAUGGUUUGUCUGUGUCUCCACCCAAAUCUCAUCUGGAAUUGUAGCUCUCAUAAUUGGGAGAUAAUUGAAUCAUGGGGGCAGUUUUCCCCACACUGUUGUCUUGGUAGUGAAUAAGUCUCAUGAGAUCUGAUGAUUUUAUAAGCGGUUUCCCCUUUCACUUGGCUCUCAUUCUCUCUUGCCACCACCAUGUAAGACGUGCCUUUCACUUUCCACCAUGAUUGUGAGGCCUCCCCAGCCACGUAGAACUGUGAGUCUAUUAAACCUCUUUUUCUUUAUAAAUUACCCAGUCUCGGGUGUGUCUUUAUCAGCUGCAUGGAAACGGACUAAUACACAUGAAUAGCACGU